CCUACGGGAGGCAGCAGUGGGGAAUAUUGGACAAUGGGGGAAACCCUGAUCCAGCAAUGCCGCGUGUGUGAAGAAGGCCUGCGGGUUGUAAAGCACUUUCAGUAAGGAGGAAAAGCUCAGGGCUAAUAUCUCUGAGUCUUGACGUUACUUACAGAAGAAGCACCGGCUAACUCCGUGCCAGCAGCCGCGGUAAU
Molecule: ribosomal RNA, 194 nt
Filed under: uncultured bacterium
Lineage: Bacteria
Description: partial 16S ribosomal RNA
Rfam family: Bacterial small subunit ribosomal RNA
Source: RNAcentral